This 465-nucleotide ribosomal RNA is filed under the name uncultured Klebsiella sp. RNAcentral's name for it is "bacterial SSU rRNA". It matches the Rfam family "Bacterial small subunit ribosomal RNA", at positions 338 to 795 of the family's 1533-position model. Lineage: Bacteria; Pseudomonadati; Pseudomonadota; Gammaproteobacteria; Enterobacterales; Enterobacteriaceae. The record is from RNAcentral.
CCUACGGGUGGCAGCAGUGGGGAAUAUUGCACAAUGGGCGCAAGCCUGAUGCAGCCAUGCCGCGUGUGUGAAGAAGGCCUUCGGGUUGUAAAGCACUUUCAGCGGGGAGGAAGGCGGUGAGGUUAAUAACCUCAUCGAUUGACGUUACCCGCAGAAGAAGCACCGGCUAACUCCGUGCCAGCAGCCGCGGUAAUACGGAGGGUGCAAGCGUUAAUCGGAAUUACUGGGCGUAAAGCGCACGCAGGCGGUCUGUCAAGUCGGAUGUGAAAUCCCCGGGCUCAACCUGGGAACUGCAUUCGAAACUGGCAGGCUAGAGUCUUGUAGAGGGGGGUAGAAUUCCAGGUGUAGCGGUGACAUGCGUAGAGAUCUGGAGGAAUACCGGUGGCGAAGGCGGCCCCCUGGACAAAGACUGACGCUCAGGUGCGAAAGCGUGGGGAGCAAACAGGAUUAGAUACCCCAGUAGUC